Molecule: RNA transcript, 950 nt
Organism: Nomascus leucogenys (northern white-cheeked gibbon)
Lineage: Eukaryota; Metazoa; Chordata; Mammalia; Primates; Hylobatidae
Gene name: putative protein N-methyltransferase FAM86B1
Exons: 3
Source: RefSeq, a predicted model, not a curated record
CACAUGGGAUGCUGCCCUCUACCUUGCAGAAUGGGCCAUCGAGAACCCGGCAGCCUUCACUCACAGGUGACCUCGGGGCGCAGGGCAGGGCACCGAGGCAGGCUUACCCCGGUGCAGUCACAGACACGGCCCCCUUUCCUCCCGCCAGGACUAUCUUAGAGCUUGGCAGUGGUGCCGGCCUCACAGGCCUGGCCAUCUGCAAGCUGUGCCGCUCCCGGGCAUACAUCUUCAGCGACUGUCACAGCUGGGUCCUCAAGCAGCUCCAAGGGAAUGCCCUUCUCAAUGGCCUCUCAUUAGAGGCAGACAUCACUGCCAACUUAGCCCUAGGGUGACAAUGGCCCAGCUGGACUGGGAUGUCACGAUGGUCAAUCAGCUCUCUGCCUUCUAGCCAGAUGUUGUCAUUGCAGCAGACGUGCUGUAUUGCCCAGAAGCCAUCGUGUCGCUUGUCGGGGUCCUGCGGAGGCUGGCUGCCGGGAGCACCAGCGGGCUCCUGAGGUCUAUGUGGCCUUCACUGUCCGCAACCCAGAGACGUGCCAGCUGUUCACCACCGAGCUGGGCCGAGUCGGGAUCAGGUGGGAAGCGGAAGCUCAUCAUGACCAGAAACUGUUUCCCUACAAAGAGCACUUGGAGAUGGCAAUGCUGAGCCUCACACUGUAGGACUCACACACGCCUCCAACGUGAUUGUGAGAAUCAAGUCACUCUCGUGGGAAGAAUUUUUAUAUGGGAAAGUGGAUAAAACUUUCAUUGGACUGGAAUGUUGAAAGAAUGUUAAAUUCCAAAUCAGGAACCACAAACUGCCCUCUAAUAAGACAUCGGCUAUCUAAGCGUGUGGGUGCCCCCUUUCUGCCAGCAGUUCUGGUUCUGAAGAAAAUCACCAUAAAUCAGACAUGAAAAUUCUGGCUCCAAAAAUAGCAUUUUCUUUGUGCAAAUAAAAACGUGUGUAUCAAGUA